UACGGGGGGAGCAAGCGUUGUUCGGAUUUACUGGGCGUAAAGGGCGCGUAGGCGGUCAGCACAAGUCAGUUGUGAAAUCUCCGGGCUUAACUCGGAAAGGUCAACUGAUACUGUGCGACUAGAGUGCAGAAGGGGCAACUGGAAUUCUCGGUGUAGCGGUGAAAUGCGUAGAUAUCGAGAGGAACACCUGCGGCGAAGGCGGGUUGCUGGGCUGACACUGACGCUGAGACGCGAAAGCGUGGGGAGCGAACCGG
RNAcentral lists this ribosomal RNA (254 nucleotides) under uncultured bacterium. RNAcentral describes it as "partial 16S ribosomal RNA". It matches the Rfam family "Bacterial small subunit ribosomal RNA", at positions 524 to 776 of the family's 1533-position model. The record is from RNAcentral.